RNAcentral lists this ribosomal RNA (369 nucleotides) under uncultured organism. RNAcentral describes it as "bacterial SSU rRNA". It matches the Rfam family "Bacterial small subunit ribosomal RNA", at positions 526 to 897 of the family's 1533-position model. The record is from RNAcentral.
CGAAGGGGGCUAGCGUUGUUCGGAAUUACUGGGCGUAAAGGGUGCGUAGGUUGUAUGGUUAGUUAGUGGUGAAAGCCCAGGGCUUAACUCUGGAAUUGCCAUUAAAACUGCCAUGCUAGAGAGUGAUAGAGGUGAGUGGAAUUUCUAGUGUAGGAGUGAAAUCCGUAGAUAUUAGAAGGAACAUCGAUGGCGAAGGCAGCUCACUGGGUCACAUCUGACACUGAGGCACGAAAGCGUGGGUAGCAAACAGGAUUAGAUACCCUGGUAGUCCACGCCCUAAACGAUGGAUGCUAGAUGUCGGGACAUUAGUUUCGGCGUCGUAGUUAACGCGUUAAGCAUCCCGCCUGGGGAGUACGGUCGCAAGAUUAA